GGCCCUCUAGCUCAACUGGCAGAGCAGUUGACUCUUAAUCAAUUGGUUCGGAGUUCGAGUCUCCGGAGGGUCA
This 73-nucleotide transfer RNA is filed under the name Candidatus Brevifilum fermentans. RNAcentral describes it as "Brevefilum fermentans tRNA". It matches the Rfam family "tRNA". From Rfam's summary of the family: Transfer RNA (tRNA) molecules are approximately 80 nucleotides in length. The record is from Rfam by way of RNAcentral. RNAcentral also lists the same sequence under 3 other names. Lineage: Bacteria; Bacillati; Chloroflexota; Anaerolineae; Anaerolineales; Anaerolineaceae.